AAUCUUCCACAAUGGGCGAAAGCCUGAUGGAGCAACGCCGCGUGAGUGAAGAAGGUUUUCGGAUCGUAAAACUCUGUUGCAAGGGAAGAAAAAGUACAGUCGUAACUGGCUGUACCUUGACGGUGCCUUAUUAUAAAGCCACGGCUGACUACGUUCCGGUCGCCGCGGUAAUCCGUAGUUGGCAAGGGUUGUCCGGAAUUAGUGGGCGUAAAGCGCGCGCAGGCGGUCCUUUAAGUCUGAUGUGAAAGCCCACGGCUAAACCGUGGAGGGUCAUUGGAAACUGGGGGACUUGAGUGCAGAAGAGGAAAGUGGAAUUCCAAGUGUAGCGGUGAAAUGCGUAGAGAUUUGGAGGAACACCAGUGGCGAAGGCGACUUUCUGGUCUGUAACUGACGCUGAGGCGCGAAAGCGUGGGGAGCAAACA
RNAcentral lists this ribosomal RNA (422 nucleotides) under uncultured bacterium. Its description in RNAcentral is "partial 16S ribosomal RNA". It matches the Rfam family "Bacterial small subunit ribosomal RNA", at positions 360 to 774 of the family's 1533-position model. The record is from RNAcentral.